CAGAUGGGUUUGGGGAGUGAAUUCCAGAUUUUCUCCUUCUCUAUUAAAAAUAUAUAGAGAGAUUUUGCAAAAUAAGUAAUGUAUAUUUGACUUAAAUGUGACCUGGCCUUAACUAUCUUAAGUCUUAGAUGUAACAUUAAGGGGAUGGCUUUGGUUUUUACUGUAACUAACUACUCUUUGAUCACAGUGUAUAGGCCAACAUACAGUCGCCUAUAUGAAAGGGUGGCGGACUCGUGGGAAUUAGGCAAAGCCCCAUAGUAGCAAAUGGUCACAUGCAAAGUAUUUUAAGCAAGAGAAAUCACAUCUCACUCGAGUGGUAUUUUUGGUUGUCCUAUCUGACACUGAUGGAGCCUGCAGAGUGGGUGUGUGGCCAACGGGUGACACACUUUCAAUACAAAGUGACCUUACCUAUAUUACACCUGAGAAAACUGAAGUAGUUUUAUAUAGGAAGGUUAGCGCUCGUAAUGGACAAACUAAGCCAUUAUUUUCAGAUGCAGUGUCUCUGUUGCUGUGAGUGCUAUCAAAAGAAUAUCUGCAUUUAUUUUCAGCUGUCUCUCUCACUUUAUCUGAUUCUUUCAAACUCGCACGGACACUGUCACGUGACUGAACCAGUAGUUGAGCUAUUUUAACCCUGAGAGCCAACAUCCCAGCUGGUGUGAGAAUGUGCAAAGACACAUUAGGCACAGUCCACACACAGACCCUCACUCACAUCUGAUCCGAAUCUUAGAAAUGCCUUCAGUGCUGCAUGUUGAGCCAAAACUGAUUGCUUGAGUGUCUGUUUCCCUCUGGUGGUCAAAGAAUGAAAUGAAAAAGGUUGUUUUUAUUUUGCUUGAAGUAUUAGAUGUUAAAGUUGAAAAACAUCUUUUCCUAAGGCAGUUAAUAUGGUAGUGUUGUCUUAUAACUUACAUACUGUAUAGUAUUGAAGUAUCAUAUAUGGCAAGGUAAAAUGAAUAUUUCAAUUUGAAGAUUCAACAUUAUUCUGUAUAUAAAAGUAUAUAAAGCCAUGUUUGACAUUUCUAAGAUCAUCUUUUUACAGACAAACAAAGAGCUUUUGUCAUUAAGAGGAGAUGAUUAAAAUGGUGACUGUGUGCACGUUUUCUAGCAAAUUGUUUGGUCUUUGGUUCCUGCUGUUUAUGGAGUCAAUAUCUGAUAUCGGACCAGCUUCUUGAUUGAUUUAAGGAGUCCAGGCCCUUCAGUGUAUUUUGUCAAAGAAACAACAAGUUUGCUCAUAUAAUUUUAUAUUUUUCUCCUAAACUUCACUGUUUCUCCAGACUCCAGUUCAAUCUAAAAUGACUGAAAAUGUUUUUAAGUGUUUGUCUGACUUCACACAGGUGGUCAGCUGCAGCUUUACUGUCCUUUGUUGCAGCUCCUCCUCAGUGGACACUUUACAGCAUGGCUGCGUGUCUUCCAUUUGUAAGUGAUGAUUAAUAAUUUACCCUAGUUUCAAUCAGUCCAGUCAGCCAGUGGUCUGCUGCAGGCCACUUCCUCUCCUAAGGACAAUGGGGCCAUUUCCUGUGGGGAAGGAGGCAGAGGACCAGUGUGAGCCAAACAAGCCAGUAUUGUGAAGCAGGGACAUCAUAUCAGUGUGCUCUGUCCUUGGAGUCAAAGACAGAAUCAAGCUUACAGUGAGAUUAACUUUAGUAACACUGUAACUCUGACAGGUUCAUGUGUAAACAUCGCACUGACCUCUGCUUUAAUGGAGAAACAUGUCUGAAGGUUUAUUAAGCGGUGAAAAUAUCUCUAAUGUGACACAUGACAGGAGCAAACACAGGAGAGCUUCAUGUGUUAAGCUAUCUUCCAAAAUCUAGAUAUUGAAUCAAUGUCGCAGGUGUUUCUAAUAGACUUACAAUGAGCCGGGGUCCCACAUGAUUCCCACUCUUUUAAUUCCUGGCAAAUUUUCAACAUAAAGAGGCUGCUGUGUUCAAAACAAUACCCCCAUUCAUGUCCCUCCUGCCCUUGUGUAUGCUAUCCCAGGAUAUCUGAGGAAGCCAAAACAUGACAAGACAUGCGAGGGGAAAAGUAAAAGUUUAGAGAGUAUGAAGUUAUGAAGGCCCUGUCCCAUUCUUUUAAUAUUCAAAUAAACAUCCCCAACAUGUUAGAAGCCAAGAAUGUUGAUUGUGCCCGGAGCUGUUUUCCAAAGAGAGGGCUGUCAGUCAACACAUUCACUCUGACAAAUAUAAUAGCCCAUAAAACCAGCAGUGGCCUUGUCCCCCUCCGACCCUGUCUCUUUCACUCUUGGAGGCACAGAUGAUGCCUGUCACAAUGGCCGCAUAGGAAG
RNAcentral lists this long non-coding RNA (2278 nucleotides) under Xyrichtys novacula (pearly razorfish). The record is from RNAcentral. Lineage: Eukaryota; Metazoa; Chordata; Actinopteri; Labriformes; Labridae.